RNAcentral lists this ribosomal RNA (119 nucleotides) under Tetraselmis sp. GSL018. RNAcentral describes it as "partial Archaeal large subunit ribosomal RNA". The record is from RNAcentral. Lineage: Eukaryota; Viridiplantae; Chlorophyta; Chlorodendrophyceae; Chlorodendrales; Chlorodendraceae.
CGAUCCCCAUCGAGAAGGCGAUGAGCGUCUACGGGGACGUGCUCCUCGCGUACGAGAUGAACGGCGAGCCGCUGCCCCGAGACCACGGGUACCCCGUCCGCGCCAUCGUCCCGGGCACC